This is a small nucleolar RNA of Mastomys coucha (southern multimammate mouse), 135 nucleotides long. RefSeq annotates it as small nucleolar RNA SNORA17. The transcript has a single exon. Lineage: Eukaryota; Metazoa; Chordata; Mammalia; Rodentia; Muridae. The record is from RefSeq and is a predicted model, not a curated record.
CCUGCCCCUAGAAGGGUUGCAGGUGUGGCUGCUGUGUCACAUGUGCAUCAGUAGGGGGCAAAGAGGAGAGAGGCUAUGUCUACAGUCAGUGUUCUGACCUCUGAACAUCUGAAUGAUGGUAAGUAGCCUAACAUU